AAAAUGCUUUUAUUCUCCAUAAUUCGGCCUGCAAGCUACUUUUUUAAUACCAAUUUUACCAGAAAAUCUGUUUUAAUGAGAGUAGAACACAAAACUGAACGGCUUUUAGCCUUGCAUCGUCUGCUCUACUGUGACCACGUGACCAUACCGGAAAUGAACCGCACUGGGAUAAAAUUAUGUGUGAUGUAAACAAACGAAAGGGGACUCAUAAGAGCUGAUAUUUUAUAUAUAUAUUAAGAAAUUCCCAGAGAAACGUGAUAUACGCCGAGCGUUGGUAUGCGCCGAGCAUUGGUCUGCCCACUCUAGAUAAUUUUAGUGAUAGAGAAGCCCUUUUUUAUGGUUUGGCAGAUUCCCUAGAGAGCUGCAUUGGGAAGUAACAGUAAAGCAGAAUACCUACAGUCCAUGAAGUUGAGAAAUGAAGAAAUGCAGCUCUGAAUUGUUUAAUACGGUGUGUUGGGAAAACAUUGUGGAUAUGAAGCAUAGAAAUCAUGUGUCAAUGUGAAGUAACAGUAACACAGAAUGCCUAGAGACCAUUAACUUGAGAACUGAAGAGAUGCAGGUCAUUGUUCUAUAUGGUGAUUGA
Mercenaria mercenaria is the source of this 583-nucleotide long non-coding RNA. RefSeq lists it as uncharacterized. The transcript has 3 exons. The record is from RefSeq and is a predicted model, not a curated record. Lineage: Eukaryota; Metazoa; Mollusca; Bivalvia; Venerida; Veneridae.